GAAGUGUCCGGCGAGAAUGGAAUGAUUGUCACGAUGUCGUUAACGUGACGACUUGGCUUCCGCUUUCUCUAUCUACAUGGAUAUAAAAGGCGGCAAAUAGCGAAUCAUAUGUAUCCGAACGGGCCACCGCCGCCGCCGGCGAAGCUUUUAAUAACGUUCCUUGCCGGAAUCGAAUCAACUGACGCCGUCGGCUUCCGCUCCUCGCGCUCCCCGAGAUUUUACUUAGCAUGGAAAGAACCAGAGGGUGCCGUAUCUCCACCCAUCUCGGCUGUUUUACUCCUCACUCUUCUCCUUCCCAUGAUAUGGGAGAAGAUAACGAGAAUAAGCAAGAUCAAUUGUCAUCAUCUAUGAAUAUGGAUUGGAAGUCUGCAACUUGUGCUGUGUGCAUGGAACCACCACACAAUGCAGUCCUACUACUUUGCGCUUCUCAUGAAAAGGGCUGUCGCCCCUACAUGUGCAACACCAGCUACCAACAUUCCAACUGCCUUGAGUUAUUCAAGAAGGCAUACACAGUUUCCGUAUCCACCAACCAGAAAACAUUGCCACAACAUAGUUCAGCUAUUUGCAAUAAAUCAAAGGUAUUGGAGCUUCCAUGUCCACAAUGCCCUCUCUGCCGUGGUCAGGUGAAAGGGUGGACUGUAAUAGGACCAGCUCGGAAGUACCUGGAUAACAAAAGAAGGAGCUGCAUGCAGGGUGAGUGUUCCUUUAUAGGAACAUUCCUGGAGCUACAGCAACACAUAAGAGAGAAUCAUCCAUUUCCCAAACCUCUGGAGGUAGAUCCUGAGCUUGAAAAGAGGUGGAGAGAGAUAGAGCUUGAGAGAGAAAGACAGGAUGUCAUCAGCUUCAUCAGCUCUUCCAUGCCAAACUCAGUGAUACUGGGAGAUUAUGUGAUAGAUCGGGGGGAGCUUCAUAACAGCUUAGAUAAUGGCAUUUUGUACGGCGCCGAACACCGAGUUUUUCGAGAUCUUAAUGAUGUUUAUUAUCAUAGAACUACAAAUGUUCCCAGAGUACAUCGUCACAGGCGGCAGCGGCGGCGGCAACGGAGGAUACAGGGGAGAUGGAUGCAUGGCUUUAGGCCUUUUUUGGCAAGAUGGAACUGGAUGUAUCAUUCAUCAUUCUGUUACUUCCGAACGUUGUGUCAUGUGGAACUUCAAAGCUCAGCAAAGAGAAAAAUUAUUCUGAGUGGACACCGGACGGCAUCCGAAAGAUCAAUCAGAAUACAUCAUGUUACUUUUUUAUUUGGUACCGUUCCUCGGUACCCUGUAUACCAGGUGAUAUGACGCAUUCUGAUUGGUCUCCGGACCGUUCGGUAUCUGCAUUGAAUAAUUUUUCUAGCAACGAUGAUAUUUUCUAUGAUGCCUAUGAUUUUGAGCUUCAGAUGGAUGCUCCCUGGAGCUUGAACCGGCAAAUGACGUUCAGCUGAAGAUGCUCUUAGUCAAAUGAAUUAUUUUUUUGGCUCUUUGCAUGGUUCAUGGUUGUAGAGGAUCAUUAGUCUACUUCUAUUUUGAAUUGUAUAUUCUAUAAAUCCUGAAUGCCUAAAUUCUUUGUAUUUUACAGAAAAAUGAGAAUGACUAUAAAUAUCGAUGGUAAUUCUAUUUCA
Dendrobium catenatum is the source of this 1600-nucleotide RNA transcript. RefSeq lists it as uncharacterized. The record is from RefSeq and is a predicted model, not a curated record. NCBI's taxonomy places the organism in Eukaryota, Viridiplantae, Streptophyta, Magnoliopsida, Asparagales, Orchidaceae. The transcript has 5 exons.